CAGUUUCUUGGCAGGACAGAUCUUGCUGAAGUAGAACUUCUGCCCUGGGUGUGCCACAUUGCCCUAGAGCUGAAAGGCACACGUGCAGGCUUCUUAACAAAGGGCGAGUUGUGCCCCAGAGCAUCUUGCUUCCAGCUGUUUGGGAAGCUAAGAAACAACUCGCUCUGCACAGUGCUCUUACAUCCUACCGGGAACUUCUCUUACAAAGGCCUGUGAAACGCAGUUUGUUUGCAGGCCUGAUCUGGCUGAAGUAGAACUUCUGCUCUGGGUGUGCCACAUUGCCCUAUAGCUGAAAGCUGCAACGUGCAGCCUCCUUUCCAAAGGGCGAGUUGGGCCCCAGAGCAUCUUGCUUCCAGCUCUUUGGGAAGCUACGAAACAAGUCGCUCUGCACACUGCUCUUACAGCCUACCGGGAACAUCUCUUACAAAGGACUGUGAAACGCAGUUUCUUUGCAGGCCUGAUGUGGCUGAAGUAGCACUUUUGCUCUGGGUGUGCCACAUUGACCUAGAGCUGAAAGGCACAACGUGCAGGCUUCUUAACAAAGGGCGAGAUGGGCCCCAGAGCAUCUUGCUUCCAGCUCUUUGGGAAGAUAAGAAACAACUCGCUCUCGCAGUGCUCUUACAGCCUCCAGGGAACAUCUCUUACAAAGCCGUGUGAAACGCAGUUUCUUUGCAGGCCUGAUCUGGCUGAAGUUGAACUUCUGCCCUGGGUGUGCAAAUUUGCCCUAGAGCUGAAAGGCACAACGUGCAGGCUUCUUAACAAAGGGCGAGUUGGGCGCCAGAUCAUCUUGCUUCCAGCUCUUUGGGAAGCUAGGAAACACCUCGCCCUGCACAGUGCUCUUACAGCCUACUGGUAACAUCUCUUACAAUGGCCUGUUAAACGCAGUUUCUUUGCAGGGCUGAUCUGGCUGAAGUUGAACUUCUGCUCUGGGUGUGCCACAUUGCCCAGAACUGAAAGGCACAACGUGCAGGCUUCUUAACAAAGGGCCAAUUGGGCCCCAGAGCAUCUUGCUUCCAGCUCUUUGGGAAGCUAAGAAACAACUCGCUCUGCACAGUGCUCUUACAUCCUACCUUGAACUUCUCUUACAAAGGCCUGUGAAACGCAGUUUGUUUGCAGGUCUGAUCUGGCUGAAGUAGAACUUCUGCUCUGGGUGUGCCACAUUGCCCUAUAGCUGAAAGCUGCAACGUGCAGUCUCCUUUCCAAAGGGCGAGUUGGGCCCCAGAGCAUCUUGCAUCCAGCUCUUUGGGAAGCUAAGAAACAACUCGCUCUGCACAGCGCUCUUACAGCCUACCGGGAACAUCUCUUACAAAGGACUGUGAAACGCAGUUUCUUUGCAGGCCUGAUGUGGCUGAAGUAGCACUUUUGCUCUGGGUGUGCCACAUUGCCCUAGAGCUGAAAGGCACAACGUGCAGGCUCCUUAACAAAGGGCGAGUUGGGCCCCAGAGCAUCUUGCUUCCAGCUCAUUGGGAAGCUAAGAAACAACUCACUCUGCACCGUGCUCUUACAGCCUACCGGGAACAUCUCUUACAAAGGACUGUGAAAC
Molecule: long non-coding RNA, 1543 nt
Filed under: Equus caballus (horse)
Lineage: Eukaryota; Metazoa; Chordata; Mammalia; Perissodactyla; Equidae
Description: lncRNA (ENSECAG00000046271.1)
Source: RNAcentral